Molecule: ribosomal RNA, 899 nt
Filed under: uncultured bacterium
Lineage: Bacteria
Description: bacterial SSU rRNA
Rfam family: Bacterial small subunit ribosomal RNA
Source: RNAcentral
ACGCUGGCGGCGUGCCUAAUACAUGCAAGUAGAACGCUGAAGGAGGAGCUUGCUUCUCUGGAUGAGUUGCGAACGGGUGAGUAACGCGUAGGUAACCUGCCUGGUAGCGGGGGAUAACUAUUGGAAACGAUAGCUAAUACCGCAUAACAGUAGAUGUUGCAUGACAUUUGCUUAAAAGGUGCAAUUGCAUCACUACCAGAUGGACCUGCGUUGUAUUAGCUAGUUGGUGGGGUAACGGCUCACCAAGGCGACGAUACAUAGCCGACCUGAGAGGGUGAUCGGCCACACUGGGACUGAGACACGGCCCAGACUCCUACGGGAGGCAGCAGUAGGGAAUCUUCGGCAAUGGACGGAAGUCUGACCGAGCAACGCCGCGUGAGUGAAGAAGGUUUUCGGAUCGUAAAGCUCUGUUGUAAGAGAAGAACAGGUGUGAGAGUGGAAAGUUCACACUGUGACGGUAUCUUACCAGAAAGGGACGGCUAACUACGUGCCAGCAGCCGCGGUAAUACGUAGGUCCCGAGCGUUGUCCGGAUUUAUUGGGCGUAAAGCGAGCGCAGGCGGUUAGAUAAGUCUGAAGUUGAAGGCUGUGGCUUAACCAUAGUACGCUUUGGAAACUGUUUAACUUGAGUGCAAGAGGGGAGAGUGGAAUUCCAUGUGUAGCGGUGAAAUGCGUAGAUAUAUGGAGGAACACCGGUGGCGAAAGCGGCUCUCUGGCUUGUAACUGACGCUGAGGCUCGAAAGCGUGGGGAGCAAACAGGAUUAGAUACCCCUGGUAGUCCACGCCGUAAACGAUGAGUGCUAGGUGUUAGACCCUUUCCGGGGUUUAGUGCCGCAGCUAACGCAUUAAGCACUCCGCCUGGGGAGUACGACCGCAAGGUUGAAACUCAAAGGAAUUGACG